Homo sapiens (human) is the source of this 1877-nucleotide long non-coding RNA. RefSeq lists it as uncharacterized. The record is from RefSeq and is a predicted model, not a curated record. The transcript is spliced from 2 exons. Lineage: Eukaryota; Metazoa; Chordata; Mammalia; Primates; Hominidae.
AAUUUUUUUUGGUCACAGUUAUAUGUGUACCUGCCUUUUAAACAUACGUUUAUUUUAUUGUAAAAAAAUGCCAUUUUAAACAUUUUUAAACAAUAGUUAAAAGAAAAAGCUUUAUUCAAAUGCUCGCAGACCAUACAAUUCACCUACUAAAAGUGUGCGGUUGGCCGGGAGCGAUGGCUCACAGCUGUAAUCCCAGCGCUUUGGGAGGCGGAGGUGGGAGGAUCUCUUGAACCCAGGAGUUGAGGCCGGUCUGGGUAACAUAAAUUCAGUAAAAUGUUUAAAAGUGUGCAAUUUAAUGGUUUUUGGUAUAUUGCGUUAUUUUUAAAAUAUUGUCCAAAAUGUAUAUAACAAACUGACAUUUUAACCAUUUUUAAGUACAAUUCAAUAGCAUUAAUUACAUUCACAAUGUAACCAUCACCACUGUUUCCAGAACUUUUCAUCACCCCAGAUAAACUCUAACCGUGAGGCACUGACUCCCCAUUUCACCUUUCCCCCCAGCCUCGGCACCUUCUAUUCCACUUUCUGUCUCUAUGAAUCUGGCCAUUCUAGGUAUUUCAUAGAAGGGACUCAUGCAAUAUAGGAUCUUGUGUGUCUAGCUUAUUUCACUUAGCGUGUUUCUGAGGUUCAUGUACAGUGUGGCAUGGAUCAGUACUUCAUUUUUCGGGCUGAAUAAUAAUUUGUUUUACGGAUAUACUUGUUACAUUUUGUUUAUCCAUUGGCUGGACAUUGGUUUUUUUCACCUUUUCGUUAUUUGAAUACUGGCGAUACGAACAUUUAUGUACCAGUAUGUGUUUGAAUACCUGUGUUCAGUUCUUUUGUCUAUAUAUCUACGAGUGGAAUUGCUGGAUCCUAUGGUAAUUCUGUGUUUAGCUUUUUGAGGAACUGCCACAUUGAUUUCUACAGUGGCUGUACCAUUUUACAUUUCCAUUAGCAGAGUACGAAGUUUCCAGUUUCUUCACUUCCUCACCAACACUUGUUAUUUUCCGUGCCAUGCUAGUACAUGUGAACUGGUAUCUUAACUCUGUGUGUCAAAAAAUUGCGGGGCCGGGCGCGGCGGCUCACGCCUGUAAUCCCAGCACUUUGGGAGGCCGAGGCGGGCGGAUCACGAGGUCAGGAGAUCGAGACCAUCCUGGCUAACACGGUGAAACCCCCUCUCUACUAAAAAUACAAAAAAUUAGCCGGGCAUGUUGGCACGCGCCUGUAGUCCCAGCUACUCGGGAGGCUGAGGCCGGAGAAUGGCGUGAACCCGGGAGGCGGAGCUUGCAGUGAGCCGAGAUCACGCCACCGCACUCCAGCCUGGGAGACAGAGCGAGACUCCGUUUCAAAAAAAAAAAAUUGUGGUAAAAUAUAGCAAGAUUACCAUUUUAACCACUUAAAAAUGUUUUUGACUAGAAAGAAGGGAGGAAAAUUUUAACCGUUUGUAAUUGUAUGGUUCAGUGGCAUCGCCUCCGUUCACACUGCUGUGCAUCCGUCACCACCGUCCAUCUCCAGAACUUUUUAAUCCUCCCAAACUGAAUUUCCACACCCUUGAGGCUCACCGUUCCUCCCUCCUACUAUCCCCUGGCAACCACCGUUCUCCUUUCCAUUUCUGUGAACCCGACUGCUUCUAGGUACCUCCUGAGAAAUUUGGACACAGAGACAGACACGCACAGAAGGAAGAUGAUGUAAAGACACAGAGUACCACGUGAGGCUGGAGGACUGGAGUGAUGUAUUUACAACCCAAGGAACGUCUAAGGUUAUCAGCAUACUGUCAGAAGCAAGGAAGAGGCAAGGAAGGAUCCCCUACAAGUUUGAAAAGUGUCAUGGCCCUGCUGACACAUUUAUUUUGGACUUUUAGCCAGAACUGUGAGAAAAUAAAUUGCUGUAUUUUCAAGUCA